This 1190-nucleotide ribosomal RNA is filed under the name Sycon carteri. Its description in RNAcentral is "SSU rRNA". It matches the Rfam family "Eukaryotic small subunit ribosomal RNA", at positions 18 to 1209 of the family's 1831-position model. Lineage: Eukaryota; Metazoa; Porifera; Calcarea; Leucosolenida; Sycettidae. The record is from RNAcentral.
CAGUAGUCAUAUGCUUGUCUCAAAGAUUAAGCCAUGCAUGUCUAAGUAUAAGCGCUCUUAUACUGUGAAACUGCGAAUGGCUCAUUAAAUCAGUUAUAGUUUAUUUGAUGUUGACUUACUACUUGGAUAACCGUGGUAAUUCUAGAGCUAAUACAUGCGUUAAAGUCCUGACCCCUCGGGGAAGGGAUGUAUUUAUUAGAUCCAAAACCGAUGCAGCUUCGGCUGGUUAUUGGUGAUUCAUGAUAACUGAACGGAUCGCAUGGUCUUGCGCCGGCGAUGACUCAUUCAAAUUUCUGCCCUAUCAACUUUCGAUGGUAAGGUAGUGGCUUACCAUGGUUGCAACGGGUGACGGAGAAUUAGGGUUCGAUUCCGGAGAGGGAGCCUGAGAAACGGCUACCACAUCCAAGGAAGGCAGCAGGCGCGCAAAUUAUCCAAUCCCGACACGGGGAGAUAGUGACGAUAAAUAACAAUGCAGGACUCCUUUGAGUCUUGCAAUUGGAAUGAGAACAAUUUAAACCCCUAACGAGGAACAAUUGGAGGGCAAGUCUGGUGCCCGCAGCCGCGGUAAUUCCAGCUCCAAUAGCGUAUAUUAAAGUUGUUGCAGUUAAAAAGCUCGUAGUUGGAUUUCGGAGCGGAGCUCAUGGUCUGCCUUUUUUGGGUGCGUACUGUGUUGUUCUGUUCUUCUUCUCGUGGAGCGUGUGUGCUCUUCAUUGAGUGUGCACGUAACUCGGGACUUUUACUUUGAAAAAAUUAGAGUGUUCAAAGCAGGCCUUGGCUUGAAUACAUUAGCAUGGAAUAAUGAAAUAGGACUUUGGUUCUAUUUUGUUGGUUUUCGGAACCAAGGUAAUGACUAAUAGGGACAGUUGGGGGCAUUCGUAUUCAAUUGUCAGAGGUGAAAUUCUUGGAUUUAUGGAAGACGAACAACUGCGAAAGCAUUUGCCAAGGAUGUUUUCAUUAAUCAAGAACGAAAGUUGGAGGUUCGAAGACGAUCAGAUACCGUCGUAGUUCCAACCAUAAACGAUGCCGACUAGGGAUCGGUGGAUGUUAUUGAAUGACUCCAUCGGCACCUUAUGAGAAAUCAAAGUUUUUGGGUUCCGGGGGGAGUAUAAUCGCAAGAUCGGAACUUAAAGGAAUUGACGGAAGGGCACCACCAGGAGUGGAGCCUGCGGCUUAAUUUGACUCAACACGGG